CAACUAGAGUAUAAUUAAAAUAGAAUCUAUUUUCUGAGAAAUCAAUAUGUUCAAAGACCAAAGAAUGUGACCUGGGUAGAGCUGGGUUCAAAUAGUGUUCUCUCUCUCUCUCUCUCUCUCUCUCUCUCUCUCUCUCUCUCUCUCUCUCUCUCUCUCUCUUCGUAAUCUGGUUCAAUGUGGUUCUUGAAUGUAGCUUUAGAACCCAGCAGAACAUCUAGCCUGUGCUGUACGGCCACCCCAGCUCAGAGGACAACCAAACAGAUUAGAAAGCAGGAACAUGGCAGCUGUCUGCUAAGGGGCUGCUACAGUAGCCAUGCAGAAGUUAAAGACCAAAGGCGACCUGGUCCUCGUUCUUUCUCCUUCACCUCAGGUACGCACUCUUAGGAAGAUGCAGAUCCCACACUUACCAAAUUUCAAAAAUUCAUUGAACAAAGACUAGAGAUGAAAAUGUUUUGGUCAUAUAAACAAACCAAUUUAAAAUCCCUAUCUCCUGAGAGACUACUGUGCUCUGAAAGCUGCUCAUAGACAAACAGUAUUGGCUUCAAAAUGUUCCACUCCUUGGCAGUAUGAUUCGUGUACUUUUACUUUGUUAAACUUUCUGAUGUUUUUCCUACCUUUAGACUACCAGUCAUUCAAUAAACAGUUGAAAACCAGGUGUGGCUGGGAUUAAAUGA
This is a long non-coding RNA of Mus caroli (Ryukyu mouse), 674 nucleotides long. RefSeq lists it as uncharacterized. NCBI's taxonomy places the organism in Eukaryota, Metazoa, Chordata, Mammalia, Rodentia, Muridae. The record is from RefSeq and is a predicted model, not a curated record.